RNAcentral lists this ribosomal RNA (254 nucleotides) under uncultured bacterium. RNAcentral's name for it is "partial 16S ribosomal RNA". It matches the Rfam family "Bacterial small subunit ribosomal RNA", at positions 524 to 776 of the family's 1533-position model. The record is from RNAcentral.
GACGUAGGCAGCGAGCGUUGUUCGGAGUUACUGGGCGUAAAGGGUGUGUAGGCGGUUAUUUAAGUUUGGGGUGAAAUCUCCCGGCUCAACCGGGAGGGUGCGCCGAAUACUGAAUGACUUCGAGUGCGGGAGAGGAGAGUGGAAUUCCUGGUGUAGCGGUGAAAUGCGUAGAUAUCAGGAGGAACACCGGUGGUGUAGACGGCUCUCUGGACCGUAACUGACGCUGAGACACGAAAGCGUGGGUAGCAAACAGG